This 1318-nucleotide long non-coding RNA is filed under the name Vigna radiata. Its description in RNAcentral is "long non-coding RNA (VRAD_LNC013647)". Lineage: Eukaryota; Viridiplantae; Streptophyta; Magnoliopsida; Fabales; Fabaceae. The record is from RNAcentral.
UUUACUCUAUCUCAUCCACAUAUAAUCUAUCAUAUAUUCUAUUCUUACAAUUUUUCAAGUUACACAUAAUAAUAAAUUUGAAUAACUUCUAUAUGUAACCUAUUAAAUAUUUUUAUUUUAUCAAAUGUUUAACCUUUUUGUAUAUAAUUUUGUUAUCAAUAAAAUAGUGUAAUCAUUACUAUUAUCUUUUCACUUUUUUUACUUUNUUAAUCAAUUUUUUAAUUCUCUUUUCAAUUCAUUGAUAAUUUUUAUUUUCUCUUUUUUNAAAAACAACGUUAUCAAUGAAAAUAAUGAAAAAUUAAAAAAAAAAGUUGAUUAGUUAGUUAAAAUUAAAAUCANGAAAAUAAUUAUUAUAGCCCUUGACAAGAAAAAGUAAAUAAAAGAACAAUACAAUUAAACAAAAAUAAACAAGAUUUUAAAUCUUUGUAUUAAAAGUUUGUUUAUUCUAUUUGUAUUUCACCUUUUGCAAUUCUAAUUAAUUAUAGAGGAAUAGUGACUUCCAUUCCAUACAAUUUUUAUUCCAAAUAAAAAAAGAAAUUUUUUAUUCCAAAUAAAAAAGAAAUUGUUUUACAAAACUUGCAAUCAAAAUGAUUUAAUUUCAUAUUAUAAUAUAAAGUUACUUUGUUAUUAGAUAGUGUUAAAAUCAGAUUUUAGAAUUAGUGCAGUGUUAAAAUUANUACAAUUCAAUUUAAAAUUAGUAGUUCAGUUAAAAUUAGUGUAGUUUACAAUUCAGAGUUAAUAGUUCAAUGAGUGUAAUUUACAAUUCAGUUAAUAGUUCAGUGCAGUUUACAGUUUAGUUAAUAAUUCAGUUAGUGCAGUCUACAAUUCAGUUAAUAGUUCAGUUCAGUUAGUGCAGUUUACAGUUCAGUUAAUAGUUCAAUUAGUGCAGUUUACAAUUCAGUUAAUAGUUCAAUUCAAUUUAUACUGUAGUUUAUUACAAUUUAGUAGAGUUCAGUUCAGUUUGAUAAAACAAAAAACAGUUCAGUUCAGUUUGUCUGAACUGUUUUACAGUUCAGUUUAAACAAAUUAGAUUUUAGUUCAGCACAGUUUUUAGCAAUGCAGUUCAGUUCAGUUCGAUUUGUUCACCCUAAGAUGUACUGCCGUGGCACAACUCCCUAUAUAUAUAGAUAGGUAAAAAUAUCAAUUUGUGCAAGACCACUAUCAAUUGCUAAACUUCAUACAUACAUAUAGAUAGGUAAAAUUAUNAAUUGUGUAGACUACUAUUACAAAAAGCGUAUAGAUUUCCAUAAAUUUUUGUAAAUAUCUUACAAAAGUAAAUAAAUAUAUCUUUUAUUUUUCAUCUCUAUAGUUAUUAUCG